CGCAACAUGCAUCCCAUUGGCAGGCACGGCCGGGACGGCAUGCAUCUGGACGGACAAUCGCGACGACAGAGUUCAUCUGCCCUGACGAUCUCCGCUACGGCCAUGCGGGAUGCAUCUCUGGUUCCGAACGCCCUUUCGGCAGGAUGGAAAAAUCUUUGUCACGUGAUACGCCGCAACUGCUUUUGGCGGCUCCUGCUGUUAUGGAUGUCCAAUAUGCAUCAGCAGUGAUCCAUAGUUCAAGUGCUGAUCCUGAGUAUGCCUCUGCAUCUAGCCGGUUGGAGGCCCAUCUCAGUUUCCUGUUAUGGCUGUAGAAAAUACUACUACUGCAGAAUACGAAUCAGAUUUCAGUACUGUACAUGGAGCUUCAGUGCAGCUAUAGAAUUAGGCAAAAGCCUGGAAACUCAAGUGAAGGAGGGAGAAUUUGCUACCCCAAGAAAGAAAGAAAGCAUUCUUCUAUUUAGAUGUGACGAGAAGUUGAAGCCAGUAGGGAUGACAUUUGAAGGCCUUGAGGCCGUGGAGGAGUUCUACAAGUCAUGCACAUCAUGCGGGUUUUGGAGUUCGUGUUGGACAGCAAAAAAAGUUGGACAAUGAUGUGGUUCGGACAAAGUGUUUCAUGUGCAAUAGGGAAGGAUUCAGGUCUGAGAAGAGCAAGGAGAUUAAAGUUCAAGGCAAGGGGACCGAGAUUGUG
Long non-coding RNA from Triticum aestivum (bread wheat), 688 nucleotides. RefSeq lists it as uncharacterized. The transcript is spliced from 3 exons. The record is from RefSeq and is a predicted model, not a curated record. Lineage: Eukaryota; Viridiplantae; Streptophyta; Magnoliopsida; Poales; Poaceae.